Molecule: ribosomal RNA, 301 nt
Filed under: uncultured bacterium
Lineage: Bacteria
Description: partial 16S ribosomal RNA
Rfam family: Bacterial small subunit ribosomal RNA
Source: RNAcentral
CAGCAGCCGCGGUAAUACGAAGGGUGCAAGCGUUACUCGGAAUUACUGGGCGUAAAGCGUGCGUAGGUGGUGGUUUAAGUCCGUUGUGAAAGCCCUGGGCUCAACCUGGGAAUUGCAGUGGAUACUGGGUCACUAGAGUGUGGUAGAGGAUAGUGGAAUUUCCGGUGUAGCAGUGAAAUGCGUAGAGACCGGAAGGAACAUCUGUGGCGAAGGCGACUAUCUGGGCCAACACUGACACUGAGGCACGAAAGCGUGGGGAGCAAACAGGAUUAGAUACCCGCGUAGUCCCUGUCUCUUAUAC